This 459-nucleotide ribosomal RNA is filed under the name uncultured bacterium. RNAcentral describes it as "partial 16S ribosomal RNA". It matches the Rfam family "Bacterial small subunit ribosomal RNA", at positions 338 to 795 of the family's 1533-position model. The record is from RNAcentral.
CCUACGGGUGGCAGCAGUGAGGAAUAUUGGUCAAUGGUCGGGAGACUGAACCAGCCAAGCCGCGUGAGGGAUGAAGGUACAGAGUAUCGUAAACCUCUUUUGUCAGGGAACAAAGGCGGGGACGUGUCCCCGGAUGAGUGUACCUGAAGAAAAAGCAUCGGCUAACUCCGUGCCAGCAGCCGCGGUAAUACGGGGGAUGCGAGCGUUAUCCGGAUUUAUUGGGUUUAAAGGGUGCGCGGGCGGUCUGUUAAGUCAGCGGUAAAAGCACGGGGCUCAACCCCGGCCCGCCGUUGAAACUGGCAGUCUCGAGUUGGAGAGAAGUAGGCGGAAUGCGCGGUGUAGCGGUGAAAUGCAUAGAGAUCGCGCAGAACUCCGAUUGCGAAGGCAGCAUGCCGGCUCCACACUGACGCUGAGGCACGAAAGCGUGGGUAUCGAACAGGAUUAGAUACCCCGGUAGUC